This 3825-nucleotide long non-coding RNA is filed under the name Astyanax mexicanus (Mexican tetra). RNAcentral describes it as "lncRNA (ENSAMXG00005005094.1)". Lineage: Eukaryota; Metazoa; Chordata; Actinopteri; Characiformes; Acestrorhamphidae. The record is from RNAcentral.
GGCAGUUUGGUCCUCCAUAAUUAUCUGUUUAACCUGUUGAUCAUGUGAAUAAAGUCUGGUUUAAGCUCUCUCUUUCCCUCUCUGUUUUUCUGUCUCUCACUCUCUCUUUCCUUGUUGGUCUCUCUAUCUUUCUGUCUCUCUCUCUUUUUCUGUCUCUCUCUCUCUCUCAAAUCUCUCUGUCUCGCAAUCUCUUUCUUUUUCUGUGCCACUCUGUCUUUCUUUUGCUCUGUCUGUCUCUCUCUCUUUUUGUCUGUCUGUCUCUCUUUCUCUCUCUGUUUUUCUAUCUCACUCUCUGUCUCUCCCUUUCUCUCUCUUUCUCUGUGUGUGUGUUGUUCUCUCUCUUUUUCUAUCUCUCUCUUUCUCUCUCUCCCUCUGUCUCUUAUUUUCUCUUUCUCUGUGUGUCUCUGUCUUUCUCUUUCUGUCCCACUCUUUCUCUCUCUGUCUGUCUGUUUUUCUCUCUGUUUUUCUGUCUCUCACUCUCUCUUUCCUUGUUGGUCUCUCUCUCUCUCUCUCUCUCUCUCUCUCUCUCUCUCUCUCUCUCUCUCUCUCUCUCUCUCUCUCUCUCUCUUAAUGUUCACUUAAGGGAACAGAUAACAGACUGUUUUGCUGAACUGUCCUCCUUCUCCAGCUCCUCCCCCUUUUCGAGAGUAGCCGUUAAAGGACAAUUGAAGCACUUCCUCCACAGAUAGCGAAACCAACCCAGACCAAACUAAUGUAUCUGACAGCGACUCUCAGCAUCGGGUAGCUGUAGUUUUCUGGGGAGAUGAUAGAAGCAAUGUUUGAAAAGAUAUUACAGAAGAAAUCACUGUAAAGAACUGUUCUUACUGAACUAAAAAUGGAAACUCCACCAGCGUGCACCAGUCCGGUGGAAAUCAACAUGAAUGCUCAGACCAGUGGAAAACUUGCUUCUCCUGGAUUUUUUGGAAAUACAAUACAAGCUCCUAUGAACAUCACCAUCGUACAGGGAGGUCAGGAGGUUUCCAGUCCCACUGCCAUUCCAGCUGGAGUCCCUUUUGCUCCUGCUCUCUCUGAAGAGCUGGCUUCUGCAUAUCAGCAAAAACUCAAAAGUAAACUAAGGCAGGAAUAUACAAGAAUUAAUGAGGGAAUCUCACUGCAUGGAGCAUCAACCAUUCUGAAUGAGAUCUACACAGAGCUCUACAUCACAGAGGGAGGGAGUGCAGAGGUGAAUAAUGAACACGAGGUCAGACAGAUCGAGACGGCAUCCAGGAGACCAGACACACAGGAGAAACCAAUCAACUGCAAUGACCUCUUUAAAGACAAAUCAAUCAAAACAGUUCUUACGAAAGGAGUUGCUGGAAUUGGAAAAACAGUCUCUGUGCAGAAGUUCAUUCUGGACUGGGCCGAAGGAAAAGCAAAUCAGGAAAUUCACUUCAUAUUCCCACUUCCUUUCAAAAAACUGAAUAUAAUAAAGGAACCACUGAGUCUAAUGGAGCUUCUUCAUCACUUUUUCCAUGAACUAAAUACAUUACAAACAGUAGACUGUAAUACUUACAAAAUCUUGUUUAUUUUUGAUGGUCUGGAUGAGUGUCGACUUCCUCUAGAUUUCCUAAAUAAUAAACUGCUAUGGGAUGUAACACAUAAAGCCUCAGUGGAUGUGCUGUUGACAAACCUCAUCAUGGGGAAUCUACUCCAGUCUGCCCUCAUCUGGGUAACCUCUCGACCAGCAGCAGCCAAUCAGAUCCCUCCUGAGUAUGUUCAAAGGGUAACAGAGGUCCGAGGGUUCAGUGACCACCAGAAAGAGGAGUACUUCAGGAAAAGAAUUAGUAAUCAGACCCUGGCCAAUAACAUCAUUACGCACAUGAAAUCAUCAAGAAGCCUUUACAUCAUGUGCCACAUUCCAGUCUUCUGUUGGAUUGCAGCCACUGUUCUAGAGAGAGUGUUGGGUGAAGCAGAGACUGGAGAGAUCCCAAAGACUUUGACUCAAAUGUUCACACACUUCCUUAUCUUUCAGGUAAAACACAGGAACCAAAAGUACCAAGGAAAAUGUGACCCGGAUCCUCAGAAGACUAAAGAGAGUAUUCUGGCUCUGGGAAAACUCGCUUUUCAACAGCUGGAAAAGGGCAAUCUGAUCUUCUAUGAGGAAGACCUGAGAGAUUGUGGCAUUGAUGUCUCAGAAGUAUCAGUGUACUCGGGAGUUUGCACUCAGAUCUUCAGAGAAGAGUUUUGGCUGCACCUAAGUAGAGUGUUCAGCUUUAUUCACCUGAGUGUUCAGGAGUUUCUGGCUGCAUUAUACGCAUUUCUCACAUUCGUCUGUAAAGAUGUAACAAAACACCUGACUACUAAUCUCUCUGUUAUUUUCAAACAGUCCACAAUGUCAGACUUCCUCAAGUCUGCAGUGGACAAGGCAUUACAGAGUGAGAAUGGACACCUGGAUCUUUUCCUUCGAUUUCUUUUGGGCCUCUCACUGGAGUCUAAUCAGACUCUUCUACGAGGUCUACUGACACAGGCAGAAUGCAGGUCUCACAACAAGGAGGAAACAGUUCAAUACAUCAAGGAGAAAAUCAGGGAAAAUCCCUCUCCAGAGAAAUCCAUCAAUUUGUUUCACUGUCUAAAUGAGCUGAAUGAUCAUUCUCUAUUGCAAGAAGUACAAGAAUAUGUAAGCAGGAGAGAUCACAGGCGUCUGAGUGGAGUUAGUCUGUCUCCUGCCCAAUGGUCAGCUCUGGUCUUUGUGUUGCUGAACUCAGAAGAGGAGAUGGACGAGUUUAAUUUGCGUAAAUAUGACAGAUCAGAGGAUUGCCUUCUCAGGUUGAUACCAGUUGUGAAAGCAUCCAGAAGAGCUGUGCUGUGCAACUGUAAUCUCACAGAGAAAGCCUGUGCUGCUCUGGCCUCAGCUCUCAGCUCAAGCUCCUCGAAUCUGAAUGAUCUGAACUUGACUAAUAAUGACCUGCUGCAAGACUCAGGAGUGAAGCUACUUUCUGCUGGACUGAAGAGUUCACACUGUAAACUGGAGAUACUGAGGCUAUGUGACUGUGACCUCACAGAGAAAAGCUGUGCAGCUUUGGCUUCAGUUCUCAGCAUAAAGUCCUCAAGUCUAAAAGAACUGAAUUUGAGUUACAAUGAACUGCUGCGGGACUUAGGAGUGAAGCUGCUUUGUACUGGCUUGGAGAAUCCGCACUGUAAACUGGAGAUACUAGGGCUGUCUAAGUGCAGUAUUACUGACGUAGGCUGUGCUGCUCUGGCUUCAGCACUCAAAUCCAACUCUUCUCACCUGAGAGAGUUGAACCUGUGCCACAAUAAACCAGGAAAAUCCGGAGUGAAGCUGCUUUCUGAUCUACUGGAGGAUCCACACUGUAAAUUGGAGAAUCUACUCAUUUGAAACCCAAAUAUCUGAUCUGCUCUUACAAACUGAGAAGAGGGUGAAGUCCUUGUUUGGAUCAUUAUUUGCAGAAAAGAUCGCUGCCUUUGAUUUUUCAGUAUCACAUAUUUACUUUGGGAAUACUCACCAGUGCUUUAUAUCAUAUUUCUUGUUGUAUAUAAUUGUAUAAUACUAGGUAAUGCUCUAUUUUGCCUGUUUUGCCUGUCCCUGUUUUUUUUUAAUUAUACUGUUUAUAAAGAAAACAAAUCAUAUAUUAAAUCAGGCGUGAGUACCAUAAAAAAAUGUAAAGUGUUGAAAUAUUUCAUAUGUUCUGGUUCUUUGAAUUGUGUGCUUAAACGUGAUUUUUUUCAUGUGAUUUAAACAAGAAAAAAAUAUGUAACUAAUGUUCACAAAGUAGGGGAGGCUAUAAAAUAAGUUGCAAUAACAAUGCAAGGUACCCUUUACUGAUUACAAAUAAAGACUAUUGUGCAUAUACUUAACUGUGUUUA